RNAcentral lists this ribosomal RNA (512 nucleotides) under uncultured bacterium. RNAcentral describes it as "bacterial SSU rRNA". It matches the Rfam family "Bacterial small subunit ribosomal RNA", at positions 956 to 1467 of the family's 1533-position model. The record is from RNAcentral.
GCAACGCGAAGAACCUUACCAGGUCUUGACAUCCCACUGCCCGCUAUGGAGACAUAGCUUUCCCUUCGGGGACAGUGGUGACAGGUGGUGCAUGGUUGUCGUCAGCUCGUGUCGUGAGAUGUUGGGUUAAGUCCCGCAACGAGCGCAACCCUUGAGAUUAGUUGCCAGCAUUUAGUUGGGCACUCUAAUCUGACUGCCGGUGACAAACCGGAGGAAGGUGGGGAUGACGUCAAAUCAUCAUGCCCCUUAUGACCUGGGCUACACACGUGCUACAAUGGAUGGAACAAAGGGGAGCAAAACCGCGAGGUCAAGCAAAUCCCAUAAAACCAUUCUCAGUUCGGAUUGCAGGCUGCAACUCGCCUGCAUGAAGCCGGAAUCGCUAGUAAUCGUGGAUCAGCAUGCCACGGUGAAUACGUUCCCGGGCCUUGUACACACCGCCCGUCACACCACGAGAGUCGGUAACACCCGAAGUCGGUGAGGUAACCUUUUGGAGCCAGCCGCCGAAGGUGGGA